RNAcentral lists this ribosomal RNA (594 nucleotides) under Penicillium chrysogenum. RNAcentral's name for it is "eukaryotic LSU rRNA". It matches the Rfam family "Eukaryotic large subunit ribosomal RNA", at positions 43 to 652 of the family's 3401-position model. The record is from RNAcentral. Lineage: Eukaryota; Fungi; Ascomycota; Eurotiomycetes; Eurotiales; Aspergillaceae.
UCAAUAAGCGGAGGAAAAGAAACCAACAGGGAUUGCCCCAGUAACGGCGAGUGAAGCGGCAAGAGCUCAAAUUUGAAAGCUGGCUCCUUCGGGGUCCGCAUUGUAAUUUGUAGAGGAUGCUUCGGGAGCGGUCCCCAUCUAAGUGCCCUGGAACGGGACGUCAUAGAGGGUGAGAAUCCCGUAUGGGAUGGGGUGUCCGCGCCCGUGUGAAGCUCCUUCGACGAGUCGAGUUGUUUGGGAAUGCAGCUCUAAAUGGGUGGUAAAUUUCAUCUAAAGCUAAAUAUUGGCCGGAGACCGAUAGCGCACAAGUAGAGUGAUCGAAAGAUGAAAAGCACUUUGAAAAGAGAGUUAAAAAGCACGUGAAAUUGUUGAAAGGGAAGCGCUUGCGACCAGACUCGCUCGCGGGGUUCAGCCGGCAUUCGUGCCGGUGUACUUCCCCGCGGGCGGGCCAGCGUCGGUUUGGGCGGUCGGUCAAAGGCCCUCGGAAGGUAACGCCCCUAGGGGCGUCUUAUAGCCGAGGGUGCAAUGCGACCUGCCUAGACCGAGGAACGCGCUUCGGCUCGGACGCUGGCAUAAUGGUCGUAAACGACCCGU